CCUACGGGGGGCAGCAGUGGGGAAUCUUGGGCAAUGGAGGGAACUCUGACCCAGCGACGCCGCGUGAAGGAAGACGGUCUUCGGAUUGUAAACUUCUGUUCUUAGUGACAAGGGGAAGAUGGUAGCUAAGGAGGAAGCCCCGGCUAACUACGUGCCAGCAGCCGCGGUAAUACGUAGGGGGCGAGCGUUGUCCGGAAUGAUUGGGCGUAAAGGGCGUGUAGGCGGCUAUUUGUGUCCGAUGUGAAAGUCCAACUUUCAAGGUUGGAAUUGCAUUAGAAACUGGGUAGCUUGAGUGCAGGAGAGGUUAUCGGAAUUCCCGGUGUAGCGGUGAAAUGCGUAGAGAUCGGGAGGAACAUCAGUGGCGAAGGCGGGUAACUGGACUGUAACUGACGCUGAGACGCGAAAGUGUGGGGAGCAAACAGGAUUAGAUACCCUGGUAGUCCACACCCUAAACGAUGAAUGCUAGGUGUAGGAGGUAUCGACCCCUUCUGCGCCGUCGUGAACACAUUAAGCAUUCCGCUUGGGGAGUACGGUCGCAAGAUUAAAACUCAAAGGAAUUGACGGGGGGCCCGCACAAGCAGCGGAGCAUGUGGUUUAAUUCGACGCAACGCGAAGAACCUUACCAGGUCUUGACAUCCAUUUAAAACUUAAGAGAWUAAGUGUGARGCAUGCUCAAAA
This 678-nucleotide ribosomal RNA is filed under the name uncultured bacterium. RNAcentral describes it as "bacterial SSU rRNA". It matches the Rfam family "Bacterial small subunit ribosomal RNA", at positions 338 to 1029 of the family's 1533-position model. The record is from RNAcentral.